GAUCUGGAUGUGUACGAUGCAGGGCCCUCCUGGGCAUGAACGCAUCGGAUGAGCCUGAGAUCGGGGCUACUGGAAGAAGUCACUACGCAACAGAUUCAGGAAUUGCAGGAAGUGUCAUGAACGUGAUAAUCCAUUAGGACAAAUGGAA
Molecule: long non-coding RNA, 148 nt
Organism: Lytechinus variegatus (green sea urchin)
Lineage: Eukaryota; Metazoa; Echinodermata; Echinoidea; Temnopleuroida; Toxopneustidae
Exons: 2
Source: RefSeq, a predicted model, not a curated record